This 337-nucleotide ribosomal RNA is filed under the name uncultured bacterium. Its description in RNAcentral is "bacterial SSU rRNA". It matches the Rfam family "Bacterial small subunit ribosomal RNA", at positions 71 to 422 of the family's 1533-position model. The record is from RNAcentral.
UCCUUGGUUUCGGCCGGGGAUCCUAGUGGCGGACGGGUGAGUAACGCGUGGGGACCUGCCCCGAGCUCUGGGACAACCGCGGGAAACUGCGGCUAAUACCGGAUGAUGCCCUUUUGGGCCAAAGCUCAGGCGGCUUGGGAGGGGCCCGCGUCCGAUUAGCUGGUUGGUGGGGUAACGGCCCACCAAGGCUGUGAUCGGUAGCUGGUCUGAGAGGACGAUCAGCCACACUGGGACUGAGAUACGGCCCAGACUCCUACGGGAGGCAGCAGUGGGGAAUCUUGGACAAUGGGGGCAACCCUGAUCCAGCGACGCCGCGUGGGUGAUGAAGGCCUUCGGG